RNAcentral lists this ribosomal RNA (495 nucleotides) under unidentified oral bacterium RP55-17. RNAcentral describes it as "bacterial SSU rRNA". It matches the Rfam family "Bacterial small subunit ribosomal RNA", at positions 30 to 494 of the family's 1533-position model. The record is from RNAcentral.
CGAACGCUGGCGGCGUGCUUAACACAUGCAAGUCGAACGAAGAGCGAUGGAAGCUUGCUUCUAUCAAUCUUAGUGGCGAACGGGUGAGUAACGCGUAAUCAACCUGCCCUUCAGAGGGGGACAACAGUUGGAAACGACUGCUAAUACCGCAUACGAUCUAACCUCGGCAUCGAGGAUAGAUGAAAGGUGGCCUCUAUUUAUAAGCUAUCACUGAAGGAGGGGAUUGCGUCUGAUUAGCUAGUUGGAGGGGUAACGGCCCACCAAGGCGAUGAUCAGUAGCCGGUCUGAGAGGAUGAACGGCCACAUUGGGACUGAGACACGGCCCAGACUCCUACGGGAGGCAGCAGUGGGGAAUCUUCCGCAAUGGACGAAAGUCUGACGGAGCAACGCCGCGUGAGUGAUGACGGCCUUCGGGUUGUAAAGCUCUGUUAAUCGGGACGAAAGGCCUUCUUGCGAAUAGUUAGAAGGAUUGACGGUACCGGAAUAGAAAGCCAC